AUAUCUACCUAAUGGAGGAAGGAUGGCCAGCCACACAGGAGGGUGAUUUUUACUAAGGAGGAGAAGGAGGCUGUGCUGACCGAGAUGCAUGCUGGCCAUUUGGGAGUGAAGCGCAUGAUUGCCAAAAUCAACCUACACUUCUUCUGACGGGGAAUUGUCAAGGAGGUUUGGUGAAUGGACCAACCAGACCCUCAAGACUGCUUUGGGCAAGUCCCUUGAUUGGUACCAGGAAGGGUGGAAGAACAACCUGAAGAUCACUGAAACCCCACCUGAUGUGGUGCAAGUUGUCGAACCAGAUCAGAACCCCUUUGAGGACCACCUUCAGGCACGGACUGAGAAGGAUGUGGAGGUUUUUGACAAAGUGAGACUGACCAUCGACAAGGCACAGGAGAAACAGAAGGAGAGCUAACGGAGCAGAAUCAAGAAAGGGAACAAGUGCUACGACAUCCUGGCAAAUUACCUGGUUUGGAAGAAGGACGAAAGGAAGGCGAGACCUGGGAAUCCUCGCUGCUCUUUCGCUCCUAGCUGAGAUCACCAUCUGUUAAAUCUUCCUAGGUUUACCUCGGUGGAAGCCAACAAUCUUCUCCAGUUGGAUGGUCGACUACUCAAAGCACUGACGCCCUACACUUCAGUGAAGCCCAGUAGACAAAGACCAUCAACUGUCCGAGCCCUCCAGGACAUAUCUCAUCCACCAGAACCAAUGAGUUCGGAUCAGUCUGAUUCUCUGUGCUCUGAGUCAGAGGGGGACCAGCUUGAGGACCUAGGGGUUCUGCCCACCACCCAGACGUGGAUCCACCUGAUGUCCUCCACUACCUGUUCUCCAGGACCUAGGGGUUCUGCCCAACACCCAGACGUGGAUCCACCUGAUGGCCUCCAUUACCAACCACCCUCCAACUUUUCAUUACAUCAUCUACAGCUACUGUUAAGGUCAUUAUCUGCUAACAACAUUUGUUUUGCUCUAUCAUACUGGGCACAUAAUAUGUAAGAUACACAGAUGAACUAUGAACACGAGCACUGCAAACACUCAGAACAACGAGAGCAGCAGAGCCCCCCCUCCGAGACUGGCUGCCUGUUGAGAACAAGUGACAACCUCCCACCCACACAGCAACCACCUCCUCUAUAUUCCAGAAACCAGAAUUCACUAUUUUAGUCUGAUUGCCAUGUGAGUGUACAAAACAACUAUCAAAGUUUAUGUAUUCAAAUCUUAAAUUUUGCCAUGUUGGUGCUGGGAUCUUGCCAAAUAAA
This is a long non-coding RNA of Salvelinus fontinalis (brook trout), 1245 nucleotides long. RefSeq lists it as uncharacterized. The record is from RefSeq and is a predicted model, not a curated record. The transcript is spliced from 7 exons. Lineage: Eukaryota; Metazoa; Chordata; Actinopteri; Salmoniformes; Salmonidae.